Cyprinus carpio (common carp) is the source of this 1449-nucleotide long non-coding RNA. The record is from Ensembl. NCBI's taxonomy places the organism in Eukaryota, Metazoa, Chordata, Actinopteri, Cypriniformes, Cyprinidae.
CCUUAACGCAUGUGUAUUUCCCAAAUCUAAAAAUAGCCUAUAAAACACAUUCAUAGACGGAUAGUUUUCUGAUGUCUGGACUCUGUUUGGGAUUUAUAAAAACAUUAACAGAUGGUUUAAUAUAUUGUUAAUGAAUACAUUCUGUGAGAAUUUACAUUUCAGGUUUUGACUGCGAAUGUCAUGUCAGUAAUGCUGGAAUUGCCAAGUAAUGAAACUAAAAUGUCUCGGGACAGUUUCUUUUUGCUGUAACAGUCCAUGGUUCUGCUACUAUGGUUUUAGUAGGAUGUAGUACUACUCCUGUCCAUUAGGGACCCUAAGUUGCUCUUCUCCUCUAGCUUAAAUCCCGGUGAGGUAGUAGAGGAAAAAGAGAUCUGUUUGGUGAAGUGGAAGCAGCCGCCAUUAAAUCAAAAAGAAGAAGAAGAAGUGGAAGCAUGGUUUUCUCUUCCAGUAUUCAAUGCAGUAAAGUCAAGAUUGAGAAAUAUGUGUUUCAAGCUCAAUCAUAAUGGCACACAAGAGUGUGAACAGCUGCCCGACUCCCAGCCAGAGCCUCCUGCACACCUUCACUUCCUAGGAGGGGAGAAAAUUCCCUCAGCACUUGUGAAAAGUCGCAUGCCAGAUCAGAUGUUUGCUUAAAGUAAGAUGAUAUCGGAUAAAAGGCUGGCUGCACUGGUGCCGCUUUCUCGGAUAUCACUCUCAUGUUCCCUAUUCCUUUUGAGCAGGAGAGAAUAUAUUUUAUUUUUAUUUAUUUAUUUAUUUAUUUUUUUAACCAAGUUUCCCCGAAGCCCCUAUUAACAUGAGGGACCAACUUAUAUCAAAAUUCAAAAGGUGCAGUUGGUGACCCCCAGCUCUCUUGACCUCAACCUGCUCCCUGAAAGCUCAGAGUUCAGAAACAGUUUUCUUUUGGCUUUGUAAUACACGGCGUGGUGUAAAUAAUUUAUUUGACACAAAUUUCCACAUCUUUCGGGGGGACAUUCCUCUCAUUGAACUCAAAACCGAGGCUUACUCAAAGCCAUUUUGGAUCUAUCGGAAUACUGCCGUUUGUUUCCCUGUAGAGUUUCUCUCAUACUAAUGUAGUUUCCUGACACAAGUGUUCAGAGUAACCCACCUCUGAGCAAUGUUCCACAAACCAGCCAACACAAACCAAAACCUGAACAUCUCAGAAUACAGGCAACUGAGCUCAGAUCAAAAGAUAUUGAAUUUGAGCAAAGCAACACAGGAACAAUCCUGAGGGCCGCUGUGUCAUAUUACAUUUGGAGCCAACUAUAACGAGAUCAAGGUUUAUUGUCUUAGGUUAACAAGUGUAAGGCUUUAAACAAACUGCACCAAUGAUUUCGUGUGUGUGUGUGUUACUGGCUUUACAAAAAAAAAAUAUUUCCAAAAUUUUGCAUUUUUAUGUACCCAUGCUGCAAAUUCCAGGCAUAUUUAAAUAAAGUUGGAUGCAAAGACGCA